This 132-nucleotide small RNA is filed under the name Klebsiella quasipneumoniae. RNAcentral describes it as "RtT sRNA". It matches the Rfam family "RtT RNA". From Rfam's summary of the family: This family represents a bacterial cis-regulatory element known as RtT RNA. The exact function of RtT is unknown although it is thought that it may be involved in changing the cellular response in relation to amino acid starvation. Lineage: Bacteria; Pseudomonadati; Pseudomonadota; Gammaproteobacteria; Enterobacterales; Enterobacteriaceae. The record is from RNAcentral. RNAcentral also lists the same sequence under 1 other name.
UAUUCUCCCCUACGGGGAAGGAUGAGAAGCUUCGACUAAGGUUCGACUCGAGCGUAGCGAGAGAACGUUGCCGCAAGCAACGGCCCGAAGGGCGAGGCGCUUUAGCGCCGAGUCAUCCUUCCCCCACCAUUC